GACGAACGCUGGCGGCGUGCUUAACACAUGCAAGUCGAGCGGUAAGGCCCUUUCGGGGGUACACGAGCGGCGAACGGGUGAGUAACACGUGGGUGACCUGCCCUCAGCUCUGGGAUAAGCCUGGGAAACCGGGUCUAAUACCGGAUAUGACUCCAUGACGCAUGUUGUGGGGUGGAAAGCCUUGUGCGGCUGAGGAUGGGCCCGCGGCCUAUCAGCUUGUUGGUGGGGUGAUGGCCUACCAAGGCGACGACGGGUAGCCGGCCUGAGAGGGCGACCGGCCACACUGGGACUGAGACACGGCCCAGACUCCUACGGGAGGCAGCAGUGGGGAAUCUUGCGCAAUGGGCGAAAGCCUG
This 356-nucleotide ribosomal RNA is filed under the name uncultured bacterium. RNAcentral describes it as "bacterial SSU rRNA". It matches the Rfam family "Bacterial small subunit ribosomal RNA", at positions 28 to 385 of the family's 1533-position model. The record is from RNAcentral.